Molecule: ribosomal RNA, 272 nt
Filed under: uncultured bacterium
Lineage: Bacteria
Description: partial 16S ribosomal RNA
Rfam family: Bacterial small subunit ribosomal RNA
Source: RNAcentral
GACGAACGCUGGCGGUGUGCUUCACACAUGCAAGUCGAACGGAGUAGCAAUACUCAGUGGCGGACGGGUGAGUAACACGUGGGAAUCUACCAUUAGAUGGGGAAUAACAGGCCGAAAGGACUGCUAAUGCCGCAUAUGUAUGUGCCUCGACAGGGGGCAUAUAUGAAAGGAGUAAUCCGUCUGAUGAUGAGCCCGCGUCCGAUUAGCUAGUUGGUAGGGUAAAAGCCUACCAAGGCGACGAUCGGUAGGUGGUCGUGAGAGGAUGAUCACCC